UCUGUGAACUCCUACGGGAGGCAGCAGAGGGGAAUAUUGCACAAUGGGCGAAAGCCUGAUGCAGCGACGCCGCGUGAGGGAUGACGGCCUUCGGGUUGUAAACCUCUUUCAGCAGGGACGAAGCGCAAGUGACGGUACCUGCAGAAGAAGCACCGGCUAACUACGUGCCAGCAGCCGCGGUAAUACGUAGGGUGCAAGCGUUGUCCGGAAUUACUGGGCGUAAAGAGUUCGUAGGCGGUUUGUCGCGUCGUUUGUGAAAACCAGCAGCUCAACUGCUGGCUUGCAGGCGAUACGGGCAGACUUGAGUACUGCAGGGGAGACUGGAAUUCCUGGUGUAGCGGUGAAAUGCGCAGAUAUCAGGAGGAACACCGGUGGCGAAGGCGGGUCUCUGGGCAGUAACUGACGCUGAGGAACGAAAGCGUGGGUAGCGAACAGGAUUAGAAACCCUGGUAGUCCAUCAGCG
This 463-nucleotide ribosomal RNA is filed under the name uncultured bacterium. RNAcentral's name for it is "bacterial SSU rRNA". It matches the Rfam family "Bacterial small subunit ribosomal RNA", at positions 328 to 801 of the family's 1533-position model. The record is from RNAcentral.